Molecule: long non-coding RNA, 472 nt
Organism: Nothoprocta perdicaria
Lineage: Eukaryota; Metazoa; Chordata; Aves; Tinamiformes; Tinamidae
Exons: 2
Source: RefSeq, a predicted model, not a curated record
CGUUUCUAGAGGUGACUCUGUCCUUUGCGUGACGGAUGUGAGGGGAGCUGAGGUCUGGUCUUUGAGAGGUCCAAGCUAUGAUGGGCCUUGGAUUAAGCCAGUUCAUCCUGUGUUCCCCCGCCAAAUUGGUAGCAGAUCCUCAUGAGGAUUUAUGGCAGACCUCUGAACUUCAAAAGCCAGGAAACUUAGUGGCUCUGAAAGAACACUGAAACUGCCAGAGGCUUCCAGAGAAGGGUAUGGCUCUCAGCUUCUAUUAGGAGAAUUGUCAUUUAUGUGACACAGGAGCAUGUGGACGUAGAAACCACAUAACCACUGACAAAACAUUAUUGGGUAACUAGAUUAAGAAGAAAAAGCAUCAACUCAUCUAGAAGUCCCACACCUCCAAUCCUGCCCUUAUAUGAGACUUCAGGUCGACAAGGUAUGUCCCAAAUGCUCCUACAACAUGAUAUAUUUGAUUAGGCAUUAGUCUAGU